This 253-nucleotide ribosomal RNA is filed under the name uncultured bacterium. RNAcentral's name for it is "partial 16S ribosomal RNA". It matches the Rfam family "Bacterial small subunit ribosomal RNA", at positions 524 to 776 of the family's 1533-position model. The record is from RNAcentral.
UACGAAGGGGGCUAGCGUUGCUCGGAAUGACUGGGCGUAAAGGGCGCGUAGGCGGUUUGUACAGUCAGAUGUGAAAUUCCCGGGCUCAACCUGGGGGCUGCAUUUGAUACGUGCGGACUUGAGUGGGGAAGAGGGUCGUGGAAUUCCCAGUGUAGAGGUGAAAUUCGUAGAUAUUGGGAAGAACACCGGUGGCGAAGGCGGCACUCUGAGCCGGUACUGACGCUGAGGGGCGAAAGCGUGGGGAGCAAACAGG